AAAGCAAUUAACAGGUUACAGGAAUUGCUCUUAACAGGAAAUUUUUAACAGUAUUAAGAAGACGAAUAUAACGGACACAUUUUUGAAUUCCACCAAUAAGACAGUUAGCGGGUUUAUUAAAACAAAUGGCAGAUGGCAGCCCUUCAGAGACAUCAGACCCUGGAGUCACAGCAGACUCUCGUCUCGUCAGAUGACAAGCAAUGCCGAUCAGUCUACUGCUAUGUGUUCAUAUAUCAUCAACCGAUGCAGUUGGACCAGCACGUGCACCGGAUGUAGACGUUGCAAGAAAGACGAAGCCAGGCAGUCGGGUGAUGGAGCGAUGGAGGAAGCGUUCUCAGCACGUGUAUCACCGCAGUUCUCUGGGUGGGCGGCACAUCACCAUGAUGUUCCUCUAAGGAAAUGAAUCUGUUCUCACUGCUGGCGGUGUUCGGGUCACACAGAACACAAAUUUAUGGUCGAGAUAGAAGUGAGCGCAAGU
This 478-nucleotide long non-coding RNA is filed under the name Pomacea canaliculata. Its description in RNAcentral is "uncharacterized LOC112564533, transcript variant X2". The record is from RNAcentral. Lineage: Eukaryota; Metazoa; Mollusca; Gastropoda; Architaenioglossa; Ampullariidae.